GCGAACUGUCAUACCAUUCUGAAAAAACCGGUUCUCGUCCGAUCCCCAAAGCAGCAUUGGAUCUGGCUAGUACUUGGAUGGUUGCCCGCCUGGGAAUGCCAGAUGCAGUUCUCU
RNAcentral lists this ribosomal RNA (114 nucleotides) under Strigamia maritima. Lineage: Eukaryota; Metazoa; Arthropoda; Chilopoda; Geophilomorpha; Linotaeniidae. The record is from RNAcentral.